UACGUAGGGACCAAGCGUUGUUCGGAUUUACUGGGCGUAAAGGGCGCGUAGGCGGUAGCACAAGUCAGUUGUGAAAUCUCCGGGCUUAACUCGGAAAGGUCAACUGAUACUGUGCGACUAGAGUGCAGAAGGGGCAACUGGAAUUCUCGGUGUAGCGGUGAAAUGCGCAGAUAUCAGGAGGAACACCGAUGGCGAGGGCAGGUCUCUGGGCAUUAACUGACGCUGAGGAGCGAAAGCGUGGGGAGCAAACAGG
This 253-nucleotide ribosomal RNA is filed under the name uncultured bacterium. RNAcentral's name for it is "partial 16S ribosomal RNA". It matches the Rfam family "Bacterial small subunit ribosomal RNA", at positions 524 to 776 of the family's 1533-position model. The record is from RNAcentral.